GGGGGUGUAUCUCAGUGGUGGAGAGCUUGCCUUGCAUGCAUGAGGCCCUGAUUUCAAUCUCUGGUACUUCAA
RNAcentral lists this transfer RNA (72 nucleotides) under Ictidomys tridecemlineatus (thirteen-lined ground squirrel). RNAcentral's name for it is "Spermophilus tridecemlineatus (thirteen-lined ground squirrel) tRNA". It matches the Rfam family "tRNA". From Rfam's summary of the family: Transfer RNA (tRNA) molecules are approximately 80 nucleotides in length. Their secondary structure includes four short double-helical elements and three loops (D, anti-codon, and T loops). Further hydrogen bonds mediate the characteristic L-shaped molecular structure. tRNAs have two regions of fundamental functional importance: the anti-codon, which is responsible for specific mRNA codon recognition, and the 3' end, to which the tRNAs corresponding amino acid is attached (by aminoacyl-tRNA synthetases). tRNAs cope with the degeneracy of the genetic code in two manners: having more than one tRNA (with a specific anti-codon) for a particular amino acid; and 'wobble' base-pairing, i.e. permitting non-standard base-pairing at the 3rd anti-codon position. Lineage: Eukaryota; Metazoa; Chordata; Mammalia; Rodentia; Sciuridae. The record is from Rfam by way of RNAcentral.